Molecule: ribosomal RNA, 253 nt
Filed under: uncultured bacterium
Lineage: Bacteria
Description: partial 16S ribosomal RNA
Rfam family: Bacterial small subunit ribosomal RNA
Source: RNAcentral
UACAGAGGGGGCAAGUGUUGUUCGGAAUUACUGGGCGUAAAGGGCGCGUAGGUGGCCUUCUAAGUUGAACGUGAAAUCCCUGGGCUCAACCCAGGAACUGCGUCCAAGACUGGGAGGCUUGAAUCCGGGAGAGGGAUGCGGAAUUCCAGGUGUAGCGGUGAAAUGCGUAGAUAUCUGGAGGAACACCGGUGGCGAAGGCGGCAUCCUGGACCGGUAUUGACACUGAGGCGCGAAAGCGUGGGGAGCAAACAGG